This 1538-nucleotide ribosomal RNA is filed under the name Escherichia coli. RNAcentral describes it as "partial 23S ribosomal RNA". It matches the Rfam family "Bacterial large subunit ribosomal RNA", at positions 165 to 1744 of the family's 2925-position model. The record is from RNAcentral. Lineage: Bacteria; Pseudomonadati; Pseudomonadota; Gammaproteobacteria; Enterobacterales; Enterobacteriaceae.
CAUAGGUUAAUGAGGCGAACCGGGGGAACUGAAACAUCUAAGUACCCCGAGGAAAAGAAAUCAACCGAGAUUCCCCCAGUAGCGGCGAGCGAACGGGGAGCAGCCCAGAGCCUGAAUCAGUGUGUGUGUUAGUGGAAGCGUCUGGAAAGGCGCGCGAUACAGGGUGACAGCCCCGUACACAAAAAUGCACAUGCUGUGAGCUCGAUGAGUAGGGCGGGACACGUGGUAUCCUGUCUGAAUAUGGGGGGACCAUCCUCCAAGGCUAAAUACUCCUGACUGACCGAUAGUGAACCAGUACCGUGAGGGAAAGGCGAAAAGAACCCCGGCGAGGGGAGUGAAAAAGAACCUGAAACCGUGUACGUACAAGCAGUGGGAGCACGCUUAGGCGUGUGACUGCGUACCUUUUGUAUAAUGGGUCAGCGACUUAUAUUCUGUAGCAAGGUUAACCGAAUAGGGGAGCCGAAGGGAAACCGAGUCUUAACUGGGCGUUAAGUUGCAGGGUAUAGACCCGAAACCCGGUGAUCUAGCCAUGGGCAGGUUGAAGGUUGGGUAACACUAACUGGAGGACCGAACCGACUAAUGUUGAAAAAUUAGCGGAUGACUUGUGGCUGGGGGUGAAAGGCCAAUCAAACCGGGAGAUAGCUGGUUCUCCCCGAAAGCUAUUUAGGUAGCGCCUCGUGAAUUCAUCUCCGGGGGUAGAGCACUGUUUCGGCAAGGGGGUCAUCCCGACUUACCAACCCGAUGCAAACUGCGAAUACCGGAGAAUGUUAUCACGGGAGACACACGGCGGGUGCUAACGUCCGUCGUGAAGAGGGAAACAACCCAGACCGCCAGCUAAGGUCCCAAAGUCAUGGUUAAGUGGGAAACGAUGUGGGAAGGCCCAGACAGCCAGGAUGUUGGCUUAGAAGCAGCCAUCAUUUAAAGAAAGCGUAAUAGCUCACUGGUCGAGUCGGCCUGCGCGGAAGAUGUAACGGGGCUAAACCAUGCACCGAAGCUGCGGCAGCGACGCUUAUGCGUUGUUGGGUAGGGGAGCGUUCUGUAAGCCUGCGAAGGUGUGCUGUGAGGCAUGCUGGAGGUAUCAGAAGUGCGAAUGCUGACAUAAGUAACGAUAAAGCGGGUGAAAAGCCCGCUCGCCGGAAGACCAAGGGUUCCUGUCCAACGUUAAUCGGGGCAGGGUGAGUCGACCCCUAAGGCGAGGCCGAAAGGCGUAGUCGAUGGGAAACAGGUUAAUAUUCCUGUACUUGGUGUUACUGCGAAGGGGGGACGGAGAAGGCUAUGUUGGCCGGGCGACGGUUGUCCCGGUUUAAGCGUGUAGGCUGGUUUUCCAGGCAAAUCCGGAAAAUCAAGGCUGAGGCGUGAUGACGAGGCACUACGGUGCUGAAGCAACAAAUGCCCUGCUUCCAGGAAAAGCCUCUAAGCAUCAGGUAACAUCAAAUCGUACCCCAAACCGACACAGGUGGUCAGGUAGAGAAUACCAAGGCGCUUGAGAGAACUCGGGUGAAGGAACUAGGCAAAAUGGUGCCGUAACUUCGGGAGAA